Molecule: ribosomal RNA, 752 nt
Filed under: uncultured Vibrio sp.
Lineage: Bacteria; Pseudomonadati; Pseudomonadota; Gammaproteobacteria; Vibrionales; Vibrionaceae
Description: bacterial SSU rRNA
Rfam family: Bacterial small subunit ribosomal RNA
Source: RNAcentral
GCAGUCGAGCGGAACGAGUUAUCUGAACCUUCGGGGAACGAUAACGGCGUCGAGCGGCGGACGGGUGAGUAAUGCCUAGGAAAUUGCCCUGAUGUGGGGGAUAACCAUUGGAAACGAUGGCUAAUACCGCAUAAUACCUACGGGUCAAAGAGGGGGACCUUCGGGCCUCUCGCGUCAGGAUAUGCCUAGGUGGGAUUAGCUAGUUGGUGAGGUAAUGGCUCACCAAGGCGACGAUCCCUAGCUGGUCUGAGAGGAUGAUCAGCCACACUGGAACUGAGACACGGUCCAGACUCCUACGGGAGGCAGCAGUGGGGAAUAUUGCACAAUGGGCGCAAGCCUGAUGCAGCCAUGCCGCGUGUGUGAAGAAGGCCUUCGGGUUGUAAAGCACUUUCAGUCGUGAGGAAGGUAGUGUAGUUAAUAGCUGCAUUAUUUGACGUUAGCGACAGAAGAAGCACCGGCUAACUCCGUGCCAGCAGCCGCGGUAAUACGGAGGGUGCGAGCGUUAAUCGGAAUUACUGGGCGUAAAGCGCAUGCAGGUGGUUUGUUAAGUCAGAUGUGAAAGCCCGGGGCUCAACCUCGGAAUAGCAUUUGAAACUGGCAGACUAGAGUACUGUAGAGGGGGGUAGAAUUUCAGGUGUAGCGGUGAAAUGCGUAGAGAUCUGAAGGAAUACCGGUGGCGAAGGCGGCCCCCUGGACAGAUACUGACACUCAGAUGCGAAAGCGUGGGGAGCAAACAGGGUUAGAUACCCUGG